GACGGGGCCCGCACAAGCGGUGGAGUAUGUGGUUUAAUUCGAUGCAACGCGAAGAACCUUACCUGGUCUUGACAUCCCGGAGACCCUUAGGAAACUAGGGGGUGCUUCCAUCUGGAAGAAUCUGGAGACAGGUGCUGCAUGGCUGUCGUCAGCUCGUGUCGUGAGAUGUUGGGUUAAGUCCCGCAACGAGCGCAACCCUUGCCUUUAGUUGCCAGCAGUUCGGCUGGGCACUCUAAAGGGACUGCCGGUGUUAAACCGGAGGAAGGUGGGGAUGACGUCAAGUCCUCAUGGCCCUUAUGACCAGGGCUACACACGUACUACAAUGGCCGAUACAAAGGGCAGCGACACUGCGAGGUGAAGCCAAUCCCGUAAAAUCGGUCUCAGUCCGGAUUGGAGUCUGCAACUCGACUCCAUGAAGUUGGAAUCGCUAGUAAUCGUGGAUCAGCAUGCCACGGUGAAUACGUUCCCGGGCCUU
Molecule: ribosomal RNA, 475 nt
Filed under: uncultured Desulfobulbus sp.
Lineage: Bacteria; Pseudomonadati; Thermodesulfobacteriota; Desulfobulbia; Desulfobulbales; Desulfobulbaceae
Description: bacterial SSU rRNA
Rfam family: Bacterial small subunit ribosomal RNA
Source: RNAcentral